AUAUCAAUAAGCGGAGGAAAAGAAACUAACAAGGAUUCCCCUAGUAGCGGCGAGUGAAGCGGGAAGAGCUCAAAUUUGUAAUCUGGCGUCUUUCAGGCGUCCGAGUUGUAAUCUAUAGAAGUGUUUUCCGUGCUGGACCAUGUCCAAGUCCCUUGGAACAGGGUAUCAAAGAGGGUGACAAUCCCGUACUUGACAUGACCACCAGUGCUCUGUGAUACACUUUCUACGAGUCGAGUUGUUUGGGAAUGCAGCUCAAAAUGGGUGGUAAAUUCCAUCUAAAGCUAAAUAUUGGCGAGAGACCGAUAGCGCACAAGUA
RNAcentral lists this ribosomal RNA (316 nucleotides) under uncultured eukaryote. RNAcentral describes it as "partial large subunit ribosomal RNA". It matches the Rfam family "Eukaryotic large subunit ribosomal RNA", at positions 40 to 350 of the family's 3401-position model. The record is from RNAcentral.